UUUCAGGCUGCGUCUUUCGCUGUUGGUUCAAACCAUGAGGACCAGUAAAACUAACAGGCAAGAAAUCCUCUGAGGGAAGACGAGAUUGGUCAAAGCCGAAGGACAGGUGCUAACAGUGAGUAUCGACUGCAAACCAGCAAAGUGCCAAAGGACCUUCAAGGAGAGCAAAUCAAUGGGCCAGAAGUGAUAAUUUUCUAGAAGUUCUGGGAGGAAGCACGAGCUUCUGAAGCACAGCCGUUCACCGCCUUGCACCCGGUCUGUGGCCCUUUGUUAUGGCAGCCCUAGUGAACUGACACAGCUCCCUCCCUGAAUCGGACUGGCCUGUGCUUACGGAGAUGGCAUUAUGACCCAGGCCACAUCAUAAAGGCUAUAGACCUUCCAUUGGGUCUCUUGGGAGACUGGUCAGCCACGCUGUGAAGAAGCCCCGGUCAUCUGAAAAGGUCACAUGCUGGUGUUCCAGCCCACAAUCCCAGGCUCUUUCCAGGUUGUUCUGCUCUGGAAGGCUAGCCAACCAAAGCUUUCUAGCAAAAGCGACUUGCUCCCACGUGCCUCUAGUGGAGGACAUGGAGACUGCCUGCGGCACAGGGGCCCAUGUUUGUACUGACUGCAGUCAACCUGCCCCCUCCCCCGGACCCCAGCUUGGUGUCAGAACCCAGAGUCCAGGCACAAAGUACUAGCACAACACAGUCUGGUGGAACGACUCUUGGAGGAGGAACGCGCCCCAACGGUCCGCCGAGUUUGGAAACACGUUCACGGGGCAACUCUCGGGAUGCGCCAGGGGCCAAAGACUGGAGACCCGAUUCACCGCCCCGGUAUUCACGUCCCAGAGUCUCUGCCCAGCCUUCGCCCAGCGAAGGAGGCCCUUGGACCCCAGGGAGCUCUCGGUCGGGGGGCCUCCUCCCGAGGUCCCGCAGCCUCCGGAGCUCUAAUCUCGGGGGGCUGCUGGCGCCCCUAAGCAGCCCGCGGGAAUAUCAGAAUCCAGCAGCCCCAGGGAACGCCUCUGCGCCCGCCCAGUCGCUCCAGAGAAGGGGAAGUGGGGCCUCACGAAAGAAAAACCCGGCGGCCCGCAGACCAGUGCGGGGAAGCCCGGGAGCGCCGUCCACACUCGCCAAACUCCG
This 1118-nucleotide long non-coding RNA is filed under the name Equus caballus (horse). RNAcentral's name for it is "lncRNA (ENSECAG00000059541.1)". The record is from RNAcentral. Lineage: Eukaryota; Metazoa; Chordata; Mammalia; Perissodactyla; Equidae.